UGGUAAGGCACACAACUUGAUGGGGAAUU
This 29-nucleotide non-coding RNA is filed under the name Rattus norvegicus (Norway rat). The record is from RNAcentral. Lineage: Eukaryota; Metazoa; Chordata; Mammalia; Rodentia; Muridae.